Molecule: ribosomal RNA, 254 nt
Filed under: uncultured bacterium
Lineage: Bacteria
Description: partial 16S ribosomal RNA
Rfam family: Bacterial small subunit ribosomal RNA
Source: RNAcentral
UACGAAGGGGGGCUAGCGUUGCUCGGAAUCACUGGGCGUAAAGGGCGCGUAGGCGGCCAUUCAAGUCAGGGGUGAAAGCCUGUGGCUCAACCACAGAAUUGCCUUUGAUACUGUUUGGCUAGAGACCGGAAGAGGUAAGUGGAACUGCGAGUGUAGAGGUGAAAUUCGUAGAUAUUCGCAAGAACACCAGUGGCGAAGGCGGCUUACUGGUCCGGUUCUGACGCUGAGGCGCGAAAGCGUGGGGAGCAAACAGG